GGGGGUGGAGCGGUUGAGGGUGUGAGCGGGAUUAGAGAAUGAAGCCAAGGGAAGGUAAAUCUCGGAGAAGCCAUGAAGGGAUAGGUUGGAGUCUUGUUGUUGUGAGAAGAGUUUCUUGGGUUUGAGUUGAGUGGAAAGGGAGGAUUCAGGGGAUGGGCGCUUCAUGGUGCUGGUGGGGGUGGAGGCAGGGGCGCUGUCGUUGGAGACCGAGGAGACGGUGGAGGAGAAGCUGCAGCC
This 237-nucleotide long non-coding RNA is filed under the name Carica papaya (papaya). RNAcentral's name for it is "long non-coding RNA (CPAP_LNC008366)". The record is from RNAcentral. Lineage: Eukaryota; Viridiplantae; Streptophyta; Magnoliopsida; Brassicales; Caricaceae.